CGGCAGCACGGGUGCUUGCACCUGGUGGCGAGUGGCGAACGGGUGAGUAAUACAUCGGAACAUGUCCUGUAGUGGGGGAUAGCCCGGCGAAAGCCGGAUUAAUACCGCAUACGAUCUACGGAUGAAAGCGGGGGACCUUCGGGCCUCGCGCUAUAGGGUUGGCCGAUGGCUGAUUACCUAGUUGGUGGGGUAAAGGCCUACCAAGGCGACGAUCAGUAGCUGGUCUGAGAGGACGACCAGCCACACUGGGACUGAGACACGGCCCAGACUCCUACGGGAGGCAGCAGUGGGGAAUUUUGGACAAUGGGCGAAAGCCUGAUCCAGCAAUGCCGCGUGUGUGAAGAAGGCCUUCGGGUUGUAAAGCACUUUUGUCCGGAAAGAAAUCCUUGGCUCUAAUACAGUCGGGGGAUGACGGUACCGGAAGAAUAAGCACCGGCUAACUACGUGCCAGCAGCCGCGGUAAUACUGAGGGUGCGAGCGUUAAUCGGAAUUACUGGGCGUAAAGCGUGCGCAGGCGGUUUGCUAAGACCGAUGUGAAAUCCCCGGGCUCAACCUGGGAACUGCAUUGGUGACUGGCAGGCUAGAGUAUGGCAGAGGGGGGUAGAAUUCCACGUGUAGCAGUGAAAUGCGUAGAGAUGUGGAGGAAUACCGAUGGCGAAGGCAGCCCCCUGGGCCAAUACUGACGCUCAUGCACGAAAGCGUGGG
RNAcentral lists this ribosomal RNA (705 nucleotides) under Burkholderia sp. RNAcentral describes it as "bacterial SSU rRNA". It matches the Rfam family "Bacterial small subunit ribosomal RNA", at positions 67 to 765 of the family's 1533-position model. Lineage: Bacteria; Pseudomonadati; Pseudomonadota; Betaproteobacteria; Burkholderiales; Burkholderiaceae. The record is from RNAcentral.